CUUUACCUGGGAAUUGCAAAGGAAGUGAGAACAUCCCCGAGCAAGACCAAAAAUUGCUGAAUAAACACAAACCCCCUUGAGAAUCACGCCAACAGGUGCUGCCUCUUUACCUGGGGAUUGCAAAGCCCCACCGCCAUGGACAGUGUGCCCCUCGUCUGUGACCACGGGUCUGGCUUCAGCAAGGUGGGAUUUGCAGGAAUGGAAAGCCCAACGGGCGUGUUCCCCACUGUCCUCGGGAAACUUCGGCACGAUGUGAGUGAUGUCGGGGUCUCCUCCCUGUGGGGUGCUGCUCAUCCAGAGGUGGCCCGCCGGCCUGGUCAGCCCCAUCCCUUCUCCCACAGGGCGGCCAAGGCCAUCCCCUGAGCAGGGCGUGGUGGGCGCGGACGUGCCUCCGCAAAUCCGAGUCGGGAGCACUGGGCUUGGUAACACACAGAUGACUGGGCCACCUAGAGUCUGUGCCUCAGCUGGUCUGGGGUGGGAGAUGGGGUGGGCAAGGCCCUGCCCCUCUCACCACUCCCAGCAUGCGGCCCACUCUGAGAACUGCAGGCUUAGAGGGAGCAGCGAUGUGUAAAUCAGUAAAGUGGACGCGUUGUGAAAAAUCAGUCUCACUGCCCGUCUCCCAUCUCUGUCUCUUCUCACAUUCAGAGAGGUAUGGACACAGAGAAGGAGCAAUUUGCCUUUAGGGUAAACGGGAGUCCAUUAGGGUGAGUGGCAACAGACACUCAACCUCCGUGACAAGAAGGCAGGAGGAGGGCGGGUAGGGACCUGGACACAGGCCCUCCAAGAGGCCCGUCUCUGACGUGCCAGCAACUGGAUCCCACAUCGCCAGAUCUUCCUGUGUUUCAAGGGAAUUUAGAAACACACGUGUUUCUAUUGUGGUAAAGUAUACACAGUGUAAAGAUGUGUUAACUGCACAGUUCAGUGGCAUCAAGAACAUUCACCACAUCUACCUCCAGAACGUUUCAUCCUUCCAAACGGAAGCUCUGGCCCCAUUAAAAACCAGCUGCUCAUCCCCCUUCCCCGGACAACACAGUUGCAUCAUAACUGAAACUCAGCGAGUGGGUCUGAGCCCGGCCGCAUGCCAGGGAGGGACAGAGAUGCCCCUUCUCCCUGAAGAGGAACCACCUGCUCUGAGAGGUGACUUCCUGAAUCCACAUGGUGACAAAGUGGUGGGGGAAAGACCUCCCAGUGCAUCCGCAUUCCCUGCUCAUGCUCUGGAUCCUGGAGCUCAUCCUCUGGAAGUUCCAGUCAUCCGUGGGAGGGAGCAGCGUCAUGACACGGAAGAUCUCAGAUGUUGCAGGACCCCAUGGCGAUCACUCUUGCACUUUGCAGCACUUGGAGCAAAUUAUUGGCAAUGUUUCUAAUUAUCCAAGAUACACUGGCUCCCAGAUCUGUGACAGAGGAGAAAAUCCCGUCUCCCUCUCUAAGAGGAUAAAAUGCACAUGGAUGCUGGGAGCCAGUGGAUUUCCUCCUCCCUGUCCAAGUGGCAGGAAUCAUGGCAGGGACCGCCCUGGCAAAUCUCAGGUGCCUGCACUCGAGCUAGCCAACCAGCUUGCCACUUGGAGAUUGUGGAGCUCAGUGGUUAAGAGCUGGGGCUUCAGGGCCAGGGAGACUGAGGCUCCAAUCUCAGCCCUGUCCUCAGCACCUGCAUGACUCAGGGCAAGGGUGCUGCUGUGGCAGAGACAUCUCUUUUGCAUAAAGCGAUUGUCCAAAGUAUGUAUCUCGUAGAUUCAGCCUGAAGGUUAAAUGAGAUGAGUGAAUGCAUGUUUAGCACAGUUUCUGGCCCGUAGGGAGUGUUUAGCAAUGAUGACGAUGGCAGUGAUGAUAACAAUGACUAGUAUAUUCGUGUAUUCCCUUAGAACAACAGAAAUGUGGCCAGGUGCGGUGGGUCAUGCCUGUAAUCCCAGCACUUUGGGAGGCCAAGGUGGGUGGAUCACCUGAGAUCAGGAGUUUGAGACCAGCCUGGCCAACAUGGCAAAACCCCAUCUCUACUAAAAAUACAAAAAUUAGCUGGGCGUAGUGGCACACGCCUGUAAUUCCAGCUACUCUGGAGGCUGCGGCAGGAGAAUCGCUUGAACCCGGGAGGCAGAGGCUGCAGUGAGCUGAGAUCACACCACUGCACUCCAGCCUGGGCGACAGAGUGAAACUUUAUCUCAAAAAC
Molecule: small RNA, 2161 nt
Filed under: Pongo abelii (Sumatran orangutan)
Lineage: Eukaryota; Metazoa; Chordata; Mammalia; Primates; Hominidae
Description: processed transcript
Source: RNAcentral